RNAcentral lists this ribosomal RNA (436 nucleotides) under uncultured Lachnospiraceae bacterium. RNAcentral's name for it is "partial 16S ribosomal RNA". It matches the Rfam family "Bacterial small subunit ribosomal RNA", at positions 341 to 792 of the family's 1533-position model. Lineage: Bacteria; Bacillati; Bacillota; Clostridia; Lachnospirales; Lachnospiraceae. The record is from RNAcentral.
ACGGAAGGCAGCAGUGGGGAAUAUUGCACAAUGGGCGAAAGCCUGAUGCAGCGACGCCGCGUGAGCGAAGAAGUAUUUCGGUAUGUAAAGCUCUAUCAGCAGGGAAGAAGAAAUGACGGUACCUGACUAAGAAGCCCCGGCUAACUACGUGCCAGCAGCCGCGGUGAUACGUAGGGGGCAAGCGUUAUCCGGAUUUACUGGGUGUAAAGGGAGCGCAGGCGGCAGGGCAAGUCUGAUGUGAAAACCCGGGGCUUAACCUCGGGACUGCAUUGGAAACUGCUCAGCUUGAGUGUCGGAGAGGUAAGUGGAAUUCCUAGUGUAGCGGUGAAAUGCGUAGAUAUUAGGAGGAACACCAGUGGCGAAGGCGGCUUACUGGACGACAACUGACGCUGAGGCUCGAAAGCGUGGGGAGCAAACAGGAUUAGAUACCCUGGUA